Molecule: ribosomal RNA, 468 nt
Filed under: uncultured bacterium
Lineage: Bacteria
Description: partial 16S ribosomal RNA
Rfam family: Bacterial small subunit ribosomal RNA
Source: RNAcentral
GACGAACGCUGGCGGCGUGCUUAACACAUGCAAGUCGAACGGAAAGGCCCUGCUUGUGUGGGGUGCUCGAGUGGCGAACGGGUGAGUAACACGUGAGUAACCUGCCCUUGACUUUGGGAUAACUUCAGGAAACUGGGGCUAAUACCGGAUAGGAUCUCCUGCUGCAGGGUGGGGGUUGGAAAGUUUCGGCGGUUGGGGCUGGAUUCGCGGCUUAUCAGCUUGUUGGUGGGGUAGUGGCUUACCAAGGCUUUGACGGGUAGCCGGCAUGAGAGGGGGACCGGCCACAAUGGGACUGAGAUACGGCCCAGAGGCCUACGGGAGGCAGCAGGGGGGAAUAUUGCACAAUGGGAGGAAGCCUGAUGCAGCAACGCCGCGUGCGGGAUGACGGCCUUCUGGGUGUAAACCGCUUUCGCCUGUGACGAAGCGUGAGUGACGGUAAUGGGUAAAGAAGCACCGGCUAACUACGUG